Molecule: non-coding RNA, 168 nt
Organism: Pelobates cultripes (western spadefoot toad)
Lineage: Eukaryota; Metazoa; Chordata; Amphibia; Anura; Pelobatidae
Source: the annotation of a GenBank genome assembly
GAAGACACAUUCCAGCCAAUCAGCAGCAGACCCUCCCUCCCAGACCCUUCCACCUCCUGGACAGCUCACUAAGAAUGCAGCUUCACAAUGAAUGUAAAAUGGAUGCUGUCCAGGAGGUGGGAGGGUCUGGGAGGGAGGGUCUGCUGCUGAUUGGCUGGAAUGUGUCUG